UACGGAGGGUGCAAGCGUUAAUCGGAAUUACUGGGCGUAAAGCGCGUGUAGGCUGUAUGGCAAGUUGGGGGUGAAAUCCCACGGCUCAACCGUGGAACUGCCUUCAAAACUACCAAACUGGAGUGCGAGAGAGGAUAGCGGAAUUCCAGGUGUAGGAGUGAAAUCCGUAGAUAUCUGGAAGAACAUCAGUGGCGAAGGCGGCUAUCUGGCUCGUAACUGACGCUGAGAUGCGAAAGCGUGGGUAGCAAACAGG
This 253-nucleotide ribosomal RNA is filed under the name Mailhella massiliensis. RNAcentral describes it as "partial 16S ribosomal RNA". It matches the Rfam family "Bacterial small subunit ribosomal RNA", at positions 524 to 776 of the family's 1533-position model. Lineage: Bacteria; Pseudomonadati; Thermodesulfobacteriota; Desulfovibrionia; Desulfovibrionales; Desulfovibrionaceae. The record is from RNAcentral.